RNAcentral lists this transfer-messenger RNA (345 nucleotides) under Candidatus Brocadiales bacterium. It matches the Rfam family "transfer-messenger RNA". From Rfam's summary of the family: Bacterial tmRNA, also known as 10Sa RNA or SsrA, is named for its dual tRNA and mRNA-like properties. Its role is to liberate the mRNA from a stalled ribosome. The record is from RNAcentral. Lineage: Bacteria; Pseudomonadati; Planctomycetota; Candidatus Brocadiia; Candidatus Brocadiales.
GGGGGCGAUUGGUCUCGACGGGGGAUGUGAGGUUCAAGUUGCAUGCCGUGGAGCUGUCACCACGUAAAUACAACAGCAAAACACACAAAAGCCAACAACGAACUGGCACUCGCAGCUUAAUUAAGCCGCGCGCUUUUCCGGGAAGCCUGCUACCGGAGUAAAGCGUCACAAGUAGGCUGGCCUGAAGAAGACUGAUCCCGUUCUUCGGGUAAGAUCAAGGGGAAUUGGAUCUGCAAUAGCCAUUCGGCCCGCGCUUGCAGAUCUGAAAUUAAACGGCUGAAUAAGCAUGUAGACGCUUGGAAGUAGCACUUCCGGACCCGGGUUCGAUUCCCGGCGCCUCCACCA